This 497-nucleotide ribosomal RNA is filed under the name uncultured bacterium. Its description in RNAcentral is "partial 16S ribosomal RNA". It matches the Rfam family "Bacterial small subunit ribosomal RNA", at positions 28 to 507 of the family's 1533-position model. The record is from RNAcentral.
GAUGAACGCUGGCGGCGCGCCUAAUACAUGCAAGUCGAGCGAACGGACGAGAAGCUUGCUUCUCUGACGUUAGCGGCGGACGGGUGAGUAACACGUGGAUAACCUACCUAUAAGACUGGGAUAACUUCGGGAAACCGGCGCUAAUCCCGGAUGAUCUUUUGAACCGCAUGGUUCAAAAGUGAAAGACGGUUUUGCUGUCACUUAUAGAUGGAUCCGCGCAGCAUUAGCUAGUUGGUAAGGUAACGGCUUACCAAGGCAACGAAGCAUAGCCGACCUGAGAGGAUGGACGGCCACACGGGAAGUGAGACAGGAUCCAGACACCGGCGGGAGGCAGCAGUAGGGAAUCUUCCGCAAUGGGCGAGAGCCUGACGGAGCAACGCGGCGGGAGUGAUGAAGGUCUGCGGAUCGGAAAACGCUGUAAGUAGGGAAGAACAAAUGUGUAAGUAACUAUGCACAUCUUGACGGUACCUAAUCAGAAAGCCACGGCUAACUACGUG